AUGCAAUUGUGGUUUCAAUUGCAAUUCAACCCGGACUAUGCAACUUGGCCUGGAGUCGCUACCUCGAUGAGAAAAAAAAUGGUUUCAAAAAGUUUCUUAUUUCUCAUGAGUCUGAUCUUGGGUUCAAAGAGAUUUCAAUUGUGUUUCUUUGGGCUAAAUAUUUUGCCGAAGUGUUUUAAAAGGUUUGCAGACACAAAUGGAUUCAUAAAAUUCAAUGGGCUUAAGCAAACCUUAUUGAAUCGAUCGACGAUUGAUGUCACCAAGACUAAACAUGUGCAAGGCAACGUAAAUCUUUCUGGAAUUAUGAAACCACAAUGA
RNAcentral lists this ribosomal RNA (318 nucleotides) under Triticum aestivum (bread wheat). RNAcentral describes it as "partial small subunit ribosomal RNA". The record is from RNAcentral. Lineage: Eukaryota; Viridiplantae; Streptophyta; Magnoliopsida; Poales; Poaceae.